RNAcentral lists this long non-coding RNA (3838 nucleotides) under Canis lupus familiaris (dog). RNAcentral describes it as "lncRNA (ENSCAFG00845024399.1)". Lineage: Eukaryota; Metazoa; Chordata; Mammalia; Carnivora; Canidae. The record is from RNAcentral.
UUUUUAUUUUUUGUUUUUUUUUUUGCAACUUCUGAAUUCUUGUCAUUUUAAUUUUUUACCCACUACUAUUUCAGGAAGUAUAUACUCUAUUUCUAAUAUAUUAGUGGUUACUUUUUAUAUUUCCAUUUACUGUAUCAAAGAUGAAAAUUAUUGAAUGUUUAUCCUUUUCUCAAACAACACCAAGAUUCUAGAAUACUUUAAUUAUUUUUUCUGUUUGCAUUAUUUAAUCUAAAUAUUUGAGUGGCAGACAUUUGAUUUUAUUCCACAAUACUGAAAUAUAGGCAUAAAGACAAAAUAAAAACAACCAUCCUCGGAAUAAGUGAAUCAGUAGAAUAAUUUAGAUCAGAUUUUCCUGACUUACAUGUUAUUUUUCCCUGUACUUCUGCUUUUUUUAACCCUGAUGAUGUUAUUAUUUUUAAAAAUCAAUGUUUCCCAACACCAUCUGUUGAAGAGACUGUCUUUUCCACUGGGUAUUCUUUCCUGCUGUGUUGAAGAUUAAUUGCCCAUACUUGAAAGUUCAUUUCUGGGUUUUUCUAUUCUGUUUCAUUGAUCUAUGUGUCUGUUUUUAUCCUGGUAUCAUACUGUCUUGACAACUAUAGCUUUGUAAUGUAACUGGACAGUAGCAUGCAAAAAACUGAAAAUGGACCACUUUCUUACCCUAUAUAUACAAAAUAAAUUCAAAAUGGAUGAGAUACCUAAAUGUGAAAUAGGAAAUCAUAAAAGUCCUAGAGGAGAACAUAGCAAUAACCUCUUUGACAUUGGCCAUAGCAACAAUUUCUUACUAGACAUGUCUCAGGGGCAAGGGAAAUGAAAGCAAAAAUAAACUAAUGGGAUUACAUCCAUAUAAAAAGCUUCUGCACAGUAAAGGAAACAGUAAAACUAAAAGGCAACCCACAGAAUGGGAGAAGAUAUUUGCAAAUGACAUAUUUGAUAAAGGGUUAGUAUCAAAAUAUAUAAAGAACUUAUCAAAUUCAACACCCCAAAAACAAAUAAUCCCGUUAAAAAAUGGACAGAAGGGGAUCCCUGGGUGGCUCAGCGGUUUCGCACCUGCCUUUGGCCCAGGGUGUGAUCCUGGAGUCCCGGGAUCGGGUCCCGUGUCAGGCUCCCGGCAGGGAGCCUGCUUCUCCCUCUGCCUGUGUCUCUGCCUCUCUCUCUCUCUCUCUCUCUCUCUCUCUAUGUCUAUCAUAAAUAAAUAAAAAUAAAUCUUUAAAAAGUUGGACAGAAGACAUGAGUAAACAUUUCCCCAACGAAGACAUGUAGAUGGCCAAUAGACACGUGAACUCAACAUUACUCAUUAUCAGGAAAAUGCAAAUCAAAACCACAAUGAGAUACCACCUCACACCAGUCAGAAUGGCUAAAAUUAACAACACAGGAAACAACAGGUGUUGGCAAGCAUGCUGAGAAAAGAGAACCCUCUUGAACUCUUGGUAAGAAUGCAAACACCAGUGUAGCCACUCUGAAAAACAGUUUGGAGAUUCCUCAAAAAGUUAAAACUAGAACUUCCCUAUGAUCCAGCAAUUGCACUACUAGGUAUUUACCCAAAGCAUACAAAAAUACUGAUUCAAAGGAACACAUUCACCUCAAUGUUUAUAGCAACAUUAUCAACAAUAGCCAAAUUAUGGAAACAGCCCAAAUGUCCAACAGAUGAAUGGGUAAAUAAUAUGUGAGGCGUACACACACACACACACACACACACACACACUAGAAUAUUACUCAGCCAUCAAAAAGAAUGAAAUCUUGCCAUUUGCAACAACAUAGAUGGAGUUAGAUUAUGCUAAGCAAAAUAAGUCAGAUAAAGACAAAUACCAUAUGAUUUCACUCAUAUGUGGAAUUUAAGAAACAAAUGAACAUGGGGCGGGGAGAGCAAAACCAAGAAACAGACUCUUAACUAUAGAGAAUAAACAGGAUUACUGGAGAGGAGGUGGGUGGGAGUAUGGGUUAAGGAGGUGAUAGGGAUUAAGAAGGGCAGUUGUGAUGGGCACAGAGUGUCAUAUAUAAGUGAUGACUCACUAAAUUCUACACCUGAAACCAAUAUUACAUUGUCUGUUAACUGGAAUUUAAAUCAAAACUCAGAAAGAAAAAAAUCAGUUUGGUUAGAAUUACCUUCUUGAAUAAAAAUUAUUCUUUUUAGAUUUAGAGUUAUUUAUCCCAUCUUGCUUAUUCACCUCACAUUUCACAGACCUUCUGUUUACUUUCUUUCUACUUGAAGUUUCUCUUUUAAAAUGUUUUUUACUAAGGAUCUGUUUGUAACAAAUUCUCUCAGUUCUUUAACAUUUAAAAGUAUCUUUAGUUUGAAUUUGUUCUUAAAUAUUUUCAACAAAAUGGGAAUUUUAGGUUGAAACUUACUUUCUCUAUUCUCAUUCAACUUUUAUUGCUAGUAUUAAUAAGUCAGCUCUCAGUCUAAUAGCAUUCUUUUCACAGGCUUAUGGUUUUUUCUCUCUGGCUAGUUUUUAGGAUUUUCUUGGUCUUAUAUUCUGAUUUCACUAUUUAAUAUUUAAGUAUAGAUUUUCUGUUUAUCAUACUUGGUAUUUUUUGGGGUUCCUGAACUUAUAGAUUGGUAUCCUUUCUAAUUUCUGAAUAAUUCUAAGACAUUAUCUUUUAAAGUAUUGCUGCUUCGUUCACUCUGUCCUCACCUUCUGAAAACUAAUUAGGCCUCCUUCUUAAUCUAUCCUCCAUGUGUCUUAAUCACUAUCAUUUUUUCCUGUGCUAAGUGUAAAAUAAUCCCUUCAAAUUCAUCUUCAUAAUCUUCAUUUUGAGUAUAACAUUUUCCAUUUUUUAGAAAUUCCGUUGUUUUCCAUAUUGUUUGUUGUUUUAAAAAAUAAUCUCUUGCUCUUUAUAUUUUCAAUUCCUUCUUUUUAAAAAAUAUAGUAAACAUGAACAUUUUAUGUUAUGUUUAUGAUGAUCCUGAAGUCUGUGGAUCUGAUUCUACUAUCUGAUUUUAUGCUGGCUUUCAUAUAUGAUAUGUCAUUUCCUCAAGUGUUUUAUGAUUUUUUUUUUUACUAUGAGCUUAUAUGUUUUUGAACUCUAUCCGUGUGAAUUCUUUGAAGGCAUUCUAAGGAAUUUGUAUUUGCUUUGGUGAGACAUGUAACAGUAUUAACAGAUAGGACUGUCUUAUUUAUUUGACUUACUCUUAUGUUGCUUUGAAAUAAUAUUAACUUACAGAAAGACUGUAAGCACAGUACAAAGAACCUCUAGAAAUCCCACUAAAGCUUCACUAACUGUUCCCAAAAUGUUUUUUAUAGCAAAAAGAUUCUCGUGGUCAGAUUUCUUUUAUUGUCCUUCAAUAUAGAAGAAUUUCUUAAGUCCUUUUUGACUUUCAGGAUCUUGACAGUUUUGAACAAGGCAGGAGAGCUAUUUUGUAGAAUGUCUAUUGGUUUUUUUCUGAUGUUUCUUCAUAAUUAGAUUCAGUUAUGCAUCUUUGGCAGGAACAUAAAAAAAAUCAUUCUUGGAUUUUUAAAUUACAUCCCAUCAAGUAGCAUCCAUGCUGAUUUCUUACAUCAUUGGUGAAGUUAACCUCUGUCAUUUGAUUAAGGGAUCAGUUUUCUCACCAUUGAGAUUAAUAAGUAGUUUGUUCAGAGAUGUUUUGAGUACCUUUCAGCUUCAUGUCCACAUUUCAGUGCCUGCUUUGUAAAAUAGAACUUGAACCUGUAAACAUCUCUGUUUUGCCUGAUGAUACAAUGUUAAUCUUUGUCAGGACAGGUUGCUGGAGAGACACUGAAGAAAAAAACUGAUUUCUCUUCCUGGUUUUAGUAUGCUUUUCUCAGCAGGUUCUGUAGUAAAUGGCUUCUUCAAUAUGUGGCAGCCAACAGCAUUUAGUGAGCAUCAGCAUGUGGUAUCU